ACUAUGAGAGAAUACAGGGUCUAAUCUCCAGUGUACAUGUCAAAAAGGGGAAUGGGCUGCAGCAUCUAGAGAGGAGACCAUCCUGUAGACCCAUCCUGUUGUUUUACAAAGUGUGGGAAACCACUGAUGAGGUAGGUGUGUUUUGGGUGGAGAAGGAAAGGCAGGGUAGAAGAGAGCGGAAUCCAGCCAGGCAGCCCCCAAUGGAAGAAUAUUCAACUCUAGCUCAACGUGGGGAAGGUAAUGACUUUGAUCCUUCCAGUUACCUUUUCUAGAGGGAAUAUGGAAAGAAUCCAGAGUGGACAAGGGCAGCCUCACAUUAGGACCCCAUCCAAUGGGCAUAUCUGUCACUUUCCAGCACACCAGGACUCUAGGGCGCCAGGAUGGGCAUAGCUGUGGCAGAGGUGAGAGGCAGCCUGUGGGAGGCUGUGAGCCCAGGUGGCCACCUGGUCCUUAUAGCCAUGAGGUUUGCAGGCAGUGCCUCAAGCAUCACAGCAGCUGCAGUGCAGGCACCUGGCUGUGGACAACCUCAUGGGGGUGGCGAGCAGGUGGCCCAAGGUGCCAGGGCCAGCAUGGCAUCCGCAGGGUCAGCUAGUCUUCAGUGCUGCCAAGAAGAGUUUAUGAGCUGCCUCUCCUCUGCUACCAGGAAACAGCCUGAUGGGGUGCGUAGGGACUGAAGUUUCCACAAUUAGCUGGAGGAAGAGGAGAUCUUGAGAAACAGUGGUAAUUUCGCUGUAAUUGUAUGUGUGCCACUCCCCGGCCCUGAAGGGCAUGAGCAAGAAAGACUGAAAGUUGUGAAAUGUACCAGGGAAGACACUGCGGUUCUGUGGUGACGGUGAAAAUGAACGUCUCAAAAGCUGGGUGAUGGCUCAGCUGGACCCAGCAUGUUAGCAACCCGUGUUUGAACAGAAGGAAAUGAAAAAUAAAGUAGAAGGACAAGGGAAGGAAAUUGGGAUCUCUUUUCAUGGAGGCACAGAAUGAAAUGAGGUCUCACCAUAUUGCCCAGGCUGGAGUGCAGUGGCUAUUCACAGGCACGAGCACAGCAUGCUACAGUCUCAAGCCUCCCGAGUAGCUAGGACUACAGGCAAGUGCCAGCGUGCCUGGCAAAGUGGCAUAUGUUUCACCUUAAGAGGCCUUUUCAGAUGCUCGGGAGACUGAGACAGAAUUUCUUAAACAGAGGAGAUGGAGGUUGCAGUGAGCCAAGAUCACACCACUGCAGUCCAGCCUGGUGGAUAGAGCAAGACUCCCUCUCAAAAACAAAAACAAAAAAAAAGAUGUCCUUCAAUAGGUGAGUAGACAAACUGUGGUGCAUCCAUACAAUGGAUGCCUGCGUGCAUUAUUCAUCAAUAAAAAAGAAUGGGCUAUCAAGCCACACAAAAACAUGGACAAAUCUGAACUGCACACUGCAAAGUGAAAGAAACCAGGUUGAGAAGCCUGCAAACUGUAUGAUUCCAUUUAUAUGACAUUCGAAAUGAUGCAAAACUAGAGAAACAGUAAGCAGAUCAGUGAUUGCCAGAGGUUCUGGGGAAGAGGGGAAGGCUUGAAUAGGUGGAGUACAGGGGAUAUAUAUAUAUAUAUAUAUUUUUUUUUUUUUUAACAGAGAAAGGGGCUCACUGUGUCACCCAGGCUGGAAUGCAGUGGCACAAUCACAGCUCCCUGCAGCCUCAAACUCCUGGGAUCAAGCAAUCCUCCCCACUGAGCCUCCGGAGUAGCUGGGACUACAGGUGAGUGUGAUCAUGCCGGGCUAAUUUUCUUUUUCUUUUUGUAGAGACAGGGUCUCAUUGUGUUGCCCAGGCUGAUCUUGAACUUCUGGGCUCAAGCGAUCCUCCUGCCCUGGCCUCACAAAGUGCUGGGAUCACAAGCAUGAGCCACUGCGCCCAGCCUGGGAUUUUUUUAAAGGCAGUGAAACUAUUCUGCAUGAUUCUGUGGUGGUGGAUACAUGACAUUAUGCAUUUGCCAAAACCACAGAAGUUCUCCACACUAAGUUCUCCACACUCAAUGCAUGCAAGCAUAUCAGCUGCAGAGCCAUGCCUCAGGGGACCGACCCCAGCCAGAACCCUCUGAAACUCUCUCCACUCCAGUGGCCCCAUGAUGCCUGUGGCCUCCAUCUCCACCUUUGAUUCUCUCCAUGGGCUCCUUUGUCCCAGGCUCACUGUUUAGCCUCUUCUCUGCCUCCUGGGUCUGCUUUAUGAGUGGCCUCAUAUCUGUGGUCCCGUGGCUGCUGUUCACUACCUUCCUUCCGCGGCUCUCAGCUUCUUUUCCUGCUGCUGGCUCCAUCUACCAAGGCAGAUGUGAUUGACUUGGCUGGUCCCUCACCAUGAGCUCCAUCUCGGGGGGCUGGCCAUGCACCUAGACUGGCUUGCCUUUGGCUCAUGUAGAAGCAGGAUGAUGAGAUCCACAGCAAGCCCACCCAUGCCUAAGAGCUUGCUUCUGGUCACCCUUGCACCCUUGGAGGGACAGGCACUUCUCAUGACCUUUACAACCCAGAAUAACAUCCCCCUGGGAAAUGUCCUAACACUACUCCUCGUCUCCCACAACUGAGAGUUCUAUGCUUCUCCUGUCAUGGUAGAGUAGUGCCCUCUUGUCCAAGGUUUUGCUUUCUGCAGUGUCAGUUACCCAUGGUCACCUGCAUCUGAAAGUACUAAAUGGAAAAUCACAGACAUAAAGACUUUGUAAGUUUUAAAUUGCAUGCUGUUCUGAGUUCUGAAAUCUGCCAUUCGCUCUGUCCUACCUGGGACAUGAAUCAUCCUUUCGUCCAGCAUCUCCACGUUGUAGACGUUCCUAUCCCUUAGUCACUUAGUUAGUGACUUAGUCAUCUCAGUUACCGGAUAGAAAAAAUAUAGUAUAUAUAGGGUUUGGAACUAUCCAAGGUUUCAGGCAUCCAUUGGAAGUCUCGGAACAUAUUCCCCAUGGAGAAGGGGGAAUGACUGUGCUUACAAGGCUGUGUUGUUCUUGCUUCUUUUCUUAUUUGUCUCCCUCUCCAGACUGUAAGCCCCUUGUAUUCAUUUACUAAGGCUGCCAUAAAAACAUGCCACAGGCUGGGUAGUCUAAACAGAAAUUUAUUCCUCACAGUUGUGGAAGGUAGAAGUCCAAGAUCAAGGUAUCCCCAGGGUUGAUUUUUUCGAAGGCCUCCCUCCUUGGCUUAUAGAUGGCCAUCUUCGCCAGGUGUCUUCACAUGUGUGCACGUCUCUGGCUUCAUCUCCUCUUCUUAUGACAUCAGUUAUAGUGGAUUAGGGCCCACUCAUAUGAUUUCACCUUAAUCACUUCUUUAAAGGCCCUGUCUCCACAUACGGUCACACUGUGAGGUACUGAGGGUUAGGACCUCAACAAAGGCAAAAACCAGGUGCUAUGAAUUUUUUUUUUUUUUUUUUGAG
RNAcentral lists this long non-coding RNA (3371 nucleotides) under Homo sapiens (human). RNAcentral's name for it is "HSALNT0140612". The record is from RNAcentral. Lineage: Eukaryota; Metazoa; Chordata; Mammalia; Primates; Hominidae.